Molecule: long non-coding RNA, 515 nt
Organism: Dendrobium catenatum
Lineage: Eukaryota; Viridiplantae; Streptophyta; Magnoliopsida; Asparagales; Orchidaceae
Exons: 2
Source: RefSeq, a predicted model, not a curated record
AUAUAGAAAUGAAUAUUAUAAAAAUUUUUAAGGGGUUCUAGAGCUAUCUCCAACCUCUCUCUGUUUCUACUGCUGAGUGCCUGAGCAUAUAUUUUUUCUUCAUCUGUGGUAACGAACAUCUGACAAUGGUUUCUCCCAUUUUGGAUUAUUAUAGACAGCUUUCAGGGCAAAAGCAAUGAAGUAUCACCCAGAUCAGAAUCCAGAUAAUAAAGAGGCUGCAGAGGCUAAAUUUAAAGAAGUGAUGGUAUCUUAUGAAGCUAUAAAGCUAGAAAGGAAAAUUGGGAAUUGUUGAUCUCAAUGACAUUAAAUGUUGAUAAUGAUCCAUGCUUUGAGGAAAAUGACCAUGUUUGAUAUUUGCCAUAAUAUUGAAAUCAAAAUCUUUUUUUAGCUGUUUUUUUUUUUCUUCCCCUGGAUAAUAAUUUAUUAUAAUAUUUAUUAUGCUGGUUUUCCUAUAUAUCCCUUAUAUUUGUAAAAAUCUGAUGAAUUGUUGCAGUGGUAAUGGGCUUUGUUCUUGA